AUACGGAGGAUCCGAGCGUUAUCCGGAUUUAUUGGGUUUAAAGGGUGCGCAGGCGGCCAUUUAAGUCAGCGGUUAAAUCGUGGGGCUCAACCCCAUUCUGCCGUUGAUACUGGGUGGCUUGAUUGCGGUCGAGGUUGGCGGAAUUCGUUGUGUAGCGGUGAAAUGCAUAGAUAUGACGAAGAACACCGAUUGCGUAGGCAGCUGACCAGACCGCAAAUGACGCUCAUGCACGAAAGGGCGGGGGUCGAACAGGAUUAGAUACCCUAGUAGUCCGCACAGUAAACGAUGAAUACUUGUUUUCGGCGAUAUAAUGUCGGAGGCAAAGCGAAAGCGAUAAGUAUUCCACCUGGGGAGUACGCCGGCAACGGUGAAACUCAAAGGAAUUGACGGGGG
RNAcentral lists this ribosomal RNA (393 nucleotides) under uncultured bacterium. RNAcentral's name for it is "partial 16S ribosomal RNA". It matches the Rfam family "Bacterial small subunit ribosomal RNA", at positions 523 to 919 of the family's 1533-position model. The record is from RNAcentral.